UGAAAAUUUGACAACAUAAUUCAGAAGCCUU
This 31-nucleotide non-coding RNA is filed under the name Rattus norvegicus (Norway rat). Lineage: Eukaryota; Metazoa; Chordata; Mammalia; Rodentia; Muridae. The record is from RNAcentral.